Molecule: ribosomal RNA, 265 nt
Filed under: uncultured bacterium
Lineage: Bacteria
Description: partial 16S ribosomal RNA
Rfam family: Bacterial small subunit ribosomal RNA
Source: RNAcentral
GUCCACGCCGUAAACGAUGGAUGCUAGUCGUCGCGGGUAUUGACCCCUGCGGCAACGAAGUUAACGCAUUAAGCAUCCCGCCUGGGGAGUACGGCCGCAAGGCUAAAACUCAAAGGAAUUGACGGGGGCCCGCACAAGCGGUGGAGCAUGUGGUUCAAUUCGACGCAACGCGCAGAACCUUACCUGGGUUAAAUCCACUCGAACCUUCUAGAGAUAGAGGAGUGCCCGCAAGGGAGCGAGUGAGAAGGUGCUGCAUGGCUGUCGU